Molecule: ribosomal RNA, 253 nt
Filed under: uncultured bacterium
Lineage: Bacteria
Description: partial 16S ribosomal RNA
Rfam family: Bacterial small subunit ribosomal RNA
Source: RNAcentral
UACAGAGGGGGCAAGCGUUGCUCGGAAUCACUGGGCGUAAAGCGCACGUAGGCGGCUUUCUAAGUCAGGGGUGAAAUCCUGGAGCUCAACUCCAGAACUGCCUUUGAUACUGGAAGGCUUGAGUCCGGGAGAGGUGAGUGGAACUGCGAGUGUAGAGGUGAAAUUCGUAGAUAUUCGCAAGAACACCAGUGGCGAAGGCGGCUCACUGGCCCGGUACUGACGCUGAGGUGCGAAAGCGUGGGGAGCAAACAGG